Long non-coding RNA from Gopherus evgoodei (Goodes thornscrub tortoise), 104 nucleotides. RefSeq lists it as uncharacterized. The record is from RefSeq and is a predicted model, not a curated record. The transcript is spliced from 3 exons. NCBI's taxonomy places the organism in Eukaryota, Metazoa, Chordata, Testudines, Testudinidae.
GUCUCAGUCUGGACUCCCCCCUUGCCUUCCCUUCAAGUGCCUUUAGUAGUCUUUCUUCUUGAGCAGACAGGCCAUGGAAAGGAGGAAUCCUCCCAUUUACCUUC